AUACCUUUCUCGGCCUUUUGGCUAAGAUCAAGUGUAGUAUCUGUUCUUAUCAGUUUAAUAUCUGAUACGUGGGUCAUCGACUCACACGAUAUUAAAUUAAUUUUUAAGGGUGAUGGUUCGCCAGGGUAGCUUGCUACCGGAACCUUCGAGCGUCGCCCAUGCGUAGCACUACUGCACGGGCCUGGCGCAACCCUA
Small nuclear RNA from Vitis vinifera (wine grape), 195 nucleotides. It matches the Rfam family "U2 spliceosomal RNA". Rfam says of the family: U2 is a small nuclear RNA (snRNA) component of the spliceosome (involved in pre-mRNA splicing). Complementary binding between U2 snRNA (in an area lying towards the 5' end but 3' to hairpin I) and the branchpoint sequence (BPS) of the intron results the bulging out of an unpaired adenosine, on the BPS, which initiates a nucleophilic attack at the intronic 5' splice site, thus starting the first of two transesterification reactions that mediate splicing. The record is from Rfam. Lineage: Eukaryota; Viridiplantae; Streptophyta; Magnoliopsida; Vitales; Vitaceae.